Molecule: ribosomal RNA, 391 nt
Filed under: uncultured bacterium
Lineage: Bacteria
Description: partial 16S ribosomal RNA
Rfam family: Bacterial small subunit ribosomal RNA
Source: RNAcentral
AUACGGAAGGUCCGGGCGUUAUCCGGAUUUAUUGGGUUUAAAGGGAGCGCAGGCGGCACUUCAAGCGUGACGUUAAAUUUCGGGGCUCACCCCCGUUAUGCGUCGCGAACUGUUGUGCUUGAGUAGGCGGCAGGGAGGCGGAAUUCGCGGUGUAGCGGUGAAAUGCUUAGAUAUCGCGAGGAACUCCGAUAGCGCAGGCAGCCUCCCGUUGCUUUACUGACGCUCAUGCUCGAAGGUGCGGGUAUCGAACAGGAUUAGAUACCCUGGUAGUCCGCACUGUAAACGAUGGAUGCCCGCUGUUGGGCCUUUUGGGUUCAGUGGCCAAGAGAAAUCGUUAAGCAUCCCACCUGGGGAGUACGCCGGCAACGGUGAAACUCAAAGGAAUUGACGG